AACGCACAUUGCGCCCCUCGGUAUUCCGGGGGGCAUGCCUGUUCGAGCGUCAUUGCACCCCUCAAGCGUAGCUUGGUAUUGGGCCCUCGCCGCUCCGGCGGGCCCGAAAGUCAGUGGCGGUCCCGUGGGACUUCGAGCGUAGUAAACAAAUCUCCCGCUUUGGAAGCUCUCGCGGCGACCGGCCAGAACGCCCAACUUUUCAAUGAUUGACCUCGGAUCAGGUAGGGAUACCCGCUGAACUUAA
Molecule: unclassified non-coding RNA, 244 nt
Filed under: uncultured Lecidella
Lineage: Eukaryota; Fungi; Ascomycota; Lecanoromycetes; Lecanorales; Lecanoraceae
Description: partial contains 5.8S ribosomal RNA, internal transcribed spacer 2, and large subunit ribosomal RNA
Rfam family: 5.8S ribosomal RNA (bases 1-52)
Source: RNAcentral